RNAcentral lists this ribosomal RNA (253 nucleotides) under uncultured bacterium. RNAcentral's name for it is "partial 16S ribosomal RNA". It matches the Rfam family "Bacterial small subunit ribosomal RNA", at positions 524 to 776 of the family's 1533-position model. The record is from RNAcentral.
UACGAAGGGGGCUAGCGUUGUUCGGAAUUACUGGGCGUAAAGCGCGCGUAGGCGGUGAUCCAUGUCAGGGGUGAAAUCCCGGGGCUUAACCCCGGAAUUGCCUUUGAAACGGGAUCGCUAGAGUCCGAGAGAGGAUGGCGGAAUUCCUAGUGUAGAGGUGAAAUUCGUAGAUAUUAGGAAGAACACCGGUGGCGAAGGCGGCCAUCUGGCUCGGUACUGACGCUCAGGCGCGAAAGCGUGGGGAGCAAACAGG